UUCCGGUUGAUCCUGCCGGACCUGACUGCUAUCGGAUUGAUACUAAGCCAUGCUAGUCUUUGUAGUAAUACAAGGCAUACGGCUCAGUAACGCGUAGUCAACCUACCCUAUGGACGGGGAUAAUCUCGGGAAACUGAGCAUAAUACCCGGCAGACCACUUAUCCUGGAAUGGUUAGUGGUUAAAAUGAUUCGUCGCCAUAGGAUGGGACUGCGGCCUAUCAGCUUGUUGGUGAGGUAAUGGCCCACCAAGGCGAUUACAGGUACGGGCUCUGAGAGGAGAGGCCCGGAGAUGGGUACUGAGACAAGGACCCAGGCCCUAUGGGGCGCAGCAGGCGAGAAAACUUUGCAAUGUGCGAAAGCACGACAAGGUUAAUCCGAGUGGUUUCUGCUAAAGGAACCUUUUGACAGUCCUAGAAACACUGUUGAAUAAGGGGUGGGCAAGUUCUGGUGUCAGCCGCCGCGGUAAAACCAGCACCUCAAGUGGUCAGGAUGAUUAUUGGGCCUAAAGCAUCCGUAGCCGGCUCUGUAAGUUUUCGGUUAAAUCUGUACGCUUAACGUACAGGCUGCUGGGAAUACUGCAGAGCUAGGGAGUGGGAGAGAUAGACGGUACUCGGGAGGAAGUGGUAAAAUGCUUUGAUCUCUCGAUGACCACCUGUGGCGAAGGCGGUCUAUCAGAACACGUCCGACGGUGAGGGAUGAAAGCUGGGGGAGCAAACCGGAUUAGAUACCCGGGUAGUCCCAGCUGUAAACUAUGCAAACUCAGUGAUGCACUGGCUUAUGGCCAGUGCAGUGUUGCAGGGAAGCCGUUAAGUUUGCCGCCUGGGAAGUACGUACGCAAGUAUGAAACUUAAAGGAAUUGGCGGGGGAGCACCACAAGGGGUGAAGCCUGCGGUUCAAUUGGAUUCAACGCCGGG
This 914-nucleotide ribosomal RNA is filed under the name uncultured marine archaeon. RNAcentral's name for it is "bacterial SSU rRNA". It matches the Rfam family "Archaeal small subunit ribosomal RNA", at positions 1 to 922 of the family's 1478-position model. The record is from RNAcentral.